UGUUAUUUCCCCUGGAAUUUCCCCAGAUAAUCUGUUUACUGCAAGAUUAAUGAUCCUUAACAGACGAAGAUUUUUGUCAUAUUUGUAUGCUCUUCCUUUCCAUCCAAUCAGGGCCCUAUCAGCAUACUUGGCUUGAAAACCGCCACCUUCUCCCCAAGAUGCAGAAAAAUUGUAACCAUAUAUGUUAUUGUUGUCGUCUAACUGUUUUCUUGACAUAUGGGUGAAAUUCUCCAGGCAAUGGGGUAUGGUUCCUGAAAUAUUGUUUACGGAGAGAUCCAACAACAGAAUAUUUUGUAACCAACAUAACUGAACUGGUAUGCUUCCAUGAAACUCAUUAGACUGUAAAUUGAAAAAGACCAAAUUAUGCUGGCUUUCCCCGAUCCAUGCAGGUAUUUUCCCGGAUAAUCUAUUAUAACUAAGGUCCAAAAAUCUCAGCCGACUGCAAUUCCUUAAGGAUAAAGGUAUUUCUCCAGAGAAGCUAUUAUUUCGUAAACUGAAUGUUUGGAGCUCAGAUAGAGAUCCCACAGAGGUUGGAAUUUUUCCCGAAAAUUUGUUGUCAGCCAAGUUCAGGACAAUCAGUUGUUGUCCAUUCGUGAAACAAUCAUCAUCAAUGAAUCCAGACAAUAAGUUAUCUGAGAGGUCCAGAAAACUGAAUUUCCUGCCUAUUGUGUUGCAUACCGAAGAGAUGGAGCCCGAAAAUCUAUUUUUAGAAAGACUCAAUGAUAA
This 726-nucleotide unclassified non-coding RNA is filed under the name Hevea brasiliensis (rubber tree). The record is from RNAcentral. Lineage: Eukaryota; Viridiplantae; Streptophyta; Magnoliopsida; Malpighiales; Euphorbiaceae.